AAAAAACGCGAAGAUCCGUAACGAAGCUUUCGUGGAAUAAAUGAGAAAUGUUCUGUUGUGCAACGAAGGAAAAGUCGUUGAAAGGUGUACGCAUCUGUAAAUACACUAUAACCAUGUACAUU
This 122-nucleotide long non-coding RNA is filed under the name Polistes fuscatus (common paper wasp). Its description in RNAcentral is "uncharacterized LOC122524831". The record is from RNAcentral. Lineage: Eukaryota; Metazoa; Arthropoda; Insecta; Hymenoptera; Vespidae.